This 305-nucleotide ribosomal RNA is filed under the name uncultured bacterium. Its description in RNAcentral is "bacterial SSU rRNA". It matches the Rfam family "Bacterial small subunit ribosomal RNA", at positions 337 to 640 of the family's 1533-position model. The record is from RNAcentral.
CCCUACGGGGCGCAGCAGUGAGGAAUAUUGGUCAAUGGGCGCGAGCCUGAACCAGCCAAGUCGCGUGAGGGAAGACGGUCCUAUGGAUUGUAAACCUCUUUUGUCGGGGAGCAAAAGACGCCACGCGUGGCGUUCCGAGAGUACCCGAAGAAAAAGCAUCGGCUAACUCCGUGCCAGCAGCCGCGGUAAUACGGAGGAUGCGAGCGUUAUCCGGAUUUAUUGGGUUUAAAGGGUGCGCAGGCGGCGAGUUAAGUCAGCGGUAAAAUUUCGGGGCUCAACCCCGACGAGCCGUUGAAACUGGCUUG